GUGCGAAAGUCGUGUAAUGUUUCAGGAUUGCCUACUUUGGACAAAUGGAAAAUUCGCACUUGCGCAGUGGCAAGCAUGUUCUGAGAGAAACGGAUACAGGUCACCACUUUAAGAACUUAAAUAAAUACUCUGUAUGGAGGACCUUAAAAGAUCACUGAGGAUGCCUCUGUUUGGAAACACAUUUAGUCCUAAAAAGAUUCCUCCACGUAAAUCCGCCUCCUUGUCCAGCCUCCACACGUUGGAUCGUUCAACUCGAGAAAUAGAGCUGGGCCUUGAGUAUGGACCUCCUGUGAUGAACAUUGGAGGUCAGGUCUUGAAAUUUGAAGAGGGACAGUGGAUUACAGAAUCUGGUGGAAAUGUGUCUAAUAGGGAAGUUCAGCGGCUUAAGAAAAGAAAUAUCCAGCUGGAGGAGGAAAAUAACGUAUUAAAACUAAAGAUUGAACUUCUCCUGGAUAUGUUGACCGAGACUACGGUAGAGUAUCACCUGAUGGAGAAAGAAGUGGAAGAAGUCAAGACUCAACAUCGAAGGAAAAAGUGACAGAUCUGAUCUAGUGCCUCCAUUGAAUAAAGUGUUUUCUUCCAAGGAAAAUUUUUUUGUAUCUAUAGAUAACAGGACAAAAGUAAAAAUAUCAUCCAUUUUCCUCACAAUGAGGAUUCUUGUGUUACAUCUCACUCUUUAUUUUCCAUUUACUGUAUGUGUUCUGUUUUUAAUUUGUUGAGUUAUUCCACCUUAAAAACCUUCUUUGGUCAAUACACAGCCUAUUUUCUAUGCUUUGUACAUUUGUAUGUGAUGUAAAACCUGCUUUUUAAUUUUAAUUUUUUCUAUUUUCUUUUUGGAUUAAAAGUAAACUAUUGACAAAAGGCAUUUCUUUCUUUUUGUUUGAUUUUUGGUUUUUAGAAAAUAACAUUUGUGAAUUGUUGGAUUCAUAGAAGCUCUAAAAAUAUACAGUAACACAUUACAAAGAAAAAAAUAAGAAAAGUAAGGCUUCAUUCACUAUUUUGGCUUUUCAUUCAGCUCCACAUAGUAUAAGAGCAAUAAUCUCAUAUACAGUAUGCCUUCCAUAUAGUUACUGAGUAACUUUUGUCACUGUAACUUUUGUGUGGUCAGAAUUAUUUACAGCUUUAAUACAUAGCAUACAGGGCUUCUCUUUUUGUACAUUGUUUUCUUUUAUUUAGCUCACAAACAGAAUAAAAACAUGCUUUUGAAACAGGCUCAAACCCAUGAAAGGAAAAGGGAAACUGAAGGCAUUACAUUUAAUUCUUUUAUUAGUUUUAGUAGUGCAUAAACCUGCACAAACUCUGAGGCUGUAUCUGUCUUCAAUUUCAGCAUCUCCUUCCCGACCGACCAAUAAAGCUUGAUUUAUUUGUGAAUUAUGCUAUGUUGUUCAGUCAGUCAUAGGAGUUUAUUCAGCACUGUCUAAAGGUUUUGUUUACUACAGUCAUAGGUAGAGAAAAUAAAGACAACAAUGCCAAAACUUUCAGUUUAUCUACCAAAAUGCAUUUCUAAAAACUUGGAUUCAAAUAACCAAAUACAUAAUUAUUAUUUUAUUUAUUUAUCCAUUAUUAUAUUAUUAAACAGAAAAGCGUUACAUGCAACUUUUAUGAAUGAUGUAACUCUCUUUAUCCAAUUGGUCAAUCCCACGUUUCAAUCACGCACAGUGCGGCUCAUAGUCCCAACUGCGCAUGCGUACGUCUCCGCGAGCGAAAGAGGCGUCUGCCAAUAGCGGGAGAGACGAAGUACUUUUUAUUCUUUUCAUCUAGCACUUUAAAUCACCGGCGUUUCGAGUGAACUGUUGUAUUAUUCUUUGACGUUGUGGUGGACUUUUAUAGACCUUACCUAUAACAAUGCCUCGUGGUGGGAAAAAGGGCCACAAAGGCCGCGGGAAGCAGUUCAGCAACCCUGAAGAGAUUGAUCGGCAGAUGAGAGCCCAGCGAGAGCUGG
This is an RNA transcript of Oreochromis niloticus (Nile tilapia), 1942 nucleotides long. It is a transcript of the gene named chibby 1, beta catenin antagonist, with no coding region annotated. NCBI's taxonomy places the organism in Eukaryota, Metazoa, Chordata, Actinopteri, Cichliformes, Cichlidae. The record is from RefSeq and is a predicted model, not a curated record. The transcript has 6 exons.